This 89-nucleotide transfer RNA is filed under the name Candidatus Daviesbacteria bacterium. RNAcentral's name for it is "tRNA-Ser". It matches the Rfam family "tRNA". Rfam says of the family: Transfer RNA (tRNA) molecules are approximately 80 nucleotides in length. The record is from RNAcentral. Lineage: Bacteria; Candidatus Daviesiibacteriota.
GGAGAGGUCGCAUAGUUUGGCCUAGUGCACGAUCUUGGAAAGAUCGCAUACCCGCAAGGGUAUCGUGGGUUCAAAUCCCACCCUCUCCG